UUUUUUUAAAUCACCACCACACCUUAAAUGCACGAUUGUACAUUUCAAGAGUGCUCAAUCACUAGAUAAAUUUGAAGGUCGACACUCCAAUUAUGUUAUUAAAGAAUAUUGAUCAUUCUCUAGGAUUGUGCGAUAGAACUACGUUUUAGAAGCUAAGAUAUUGCCAGGUAGUAAUUCUGGCCAAAAUGUGUUGAUUUCUAAAAUGUCUCUUACUCCAUUAGAUCCAUGACUACCAUUCAAGUUUGAACGAAGACAAUUUCCUCUUAUUAUUUUGUAUGCCAUGACAAUCAAGAAGGAUAAAGGACAAUCCGANUGCCAUGACAAUCAAGAAGGAUAAAGGACAAUCCGAGCGUAGGGCUUUUGUAAAGAACCCAUCUCAUAGACAUUACGUGUUUCAAGAGCAAAAAGUCGGAGUUGAUUGCCGAUUUUAGCAUAUAAAAAAGAUAAUACUCCAUUCGUCCCAAUUUUUAGUAUCAAACUUUCCUUUUUUUUGGUAGUUCCACAUU
RNAcentral lists this long non-coding RNA (506 nucleotides) under Salvia miltiorrhiza (redroot sage). RNAcentral's name for it is "long non-coding RNA (SMIL_LNC006553)". Lineage: Eukaryota; Viridiplantae; Streptophyta; Magnoliopsida; Lamiales; Lamiaceae. The record is from RNAcentral.